GUGUCAGCAGCCGCGGUAAUACCAGCACCCCGAGUGGUCGGGACGAUUAUUGGGCCUAAAGCAUCCGUAGCCGGUUCUACAAGUCUUCCGUUAAAUCCAGCUGCUUAACAGUUGGGCUGCGGAGGAUACUAUAGAUCUAGGGGGCGGGAGAGGCAAGCGGUACUUAGUGGGUAGGGGUAAAAUCCGUUGAUCCACUGAAGACCACCAGUGGCGAAGGCGGCUUGCCAGAACGCGCUCGACGGUGAGGGAUGAAAGCUGGGGGAGCAAACCGGAUUAGAUACCCGGGUAGUCCCAGCUGUAAACGAUGCAGACUCGGUGAUGAGUUGGCUUUUUGCUAACUCAGUGCCGCAGGGAAGCCGUUAAGUUUGCCGCCUGGGGAGUACGGUCGCAAGACUGAAACUUAAAUGAAUUGGCGGGG
Molecule: ribosomal RNA, 418 nt
Filed under: uncultured prokaryote
Description: bacterial SSU rRNA
Rfam family: Archaeal small subunit ribosomal RNA
Source: RNAcentral